RNAcentral lists this ribosomal RNA (253 nucleotides) under uncultured bacterium. Its description in RNAcentral is "partial 16S ribosomal RNA". It matches the Rfam family "Bacterial small subunit ribosomal RNA", at positions 524 to 776 of the family's 1533-position model. The record is from RNAcentral.
UACGAAGGGUGCAAGCGUUACUCGGAAUUACUGGGCGUAAAGCGUGCGUAGGCGGUUCGUUAAGUCUGUCGUGAAAGCCCUGGGCUCAACCUGGGAAUUGCGAUGGAUACUGGCGAGCUAGAGUACGGUAGAGGAUGGUGGAAUUCCCGGUGUAGCGGUGAAAUGCGUAGAGAUCGGGAGGAACACCGGUGGCGAAGGCGGGUCUCUGGGCAAUUCCUGACGCUGAGGCGCGAAAGCGUUGGGAGCAAACGGG